Molecule: non-coding RNA, 72 nt
Organism: Pangasianodon gigas (Mekong giant catfish)
Lineage: Eukaryota; Metazoa; Chordata; Actinopteri; Siluriformes; Pangasiidae
Source: the annotation of a GenBank genome assembly
UUCUUCUGUGGGAGCUAUAAAAGAUAUCAGGGUGGGGAUGCGGCUGUGCCUAACCCUAACCCUAACCCUAAC